GACGCGGUGACCGAGUGGUUAAGGUGUUCGCCUGCUAAGUGAAUGGGCAAUGCCCGCGCGAGUUCGAAUCUCGUCCGCGUCG
This 82-nucleotide transfer RNA is filed under the name Micromonas commoda. RNAcentral's name for it is "tRNA-Ser (GCT) (tRNA-Ser-GCT-1-1)". It matches the Rfam family "tRNA". From Rfam's summary of the family: Transfer RNA (tRNA) molecules are approximately 80 nucleotides in length. Their secondary structure includes four short double-helical elements and three loops (D, anti-codon, and T loops). The record is from Rfam by way of RNAcentral. Lineage: Eukaryota; Viridiplantae; Chlorophyta; Mamiellophyceae; Mamiellales; Mamiellaceae.